RNAcentral lists this ribosomal RNA (787 nucleotides) under uncultured bacterium. Its description in RNAcentral is "bacterial SSU rRNA". It matches the Rfam family "Bacterial small subunit ribosomal RNA", at positions 74 to 855 of the family's 1533-position model. The record is from RNAcentral.
GGGGGCUUGCUCCCGGGUUAGUGGCGAACGGGUGAGUAAUAUAUCGGAACAUAUCCGGAAGUGGGGGAUAACGUAGCGAAAGUUACGCUAAUACCGCAUAUGCCCUGAGGGGGAAAGGGGGGGAUCGCAAGACCUCUCGCUUUCGGAGUGGCCGAUACCGGAUUAGCUAGAUGGUGAGGUAAAGGCUCACCAUGGCGACGAUCCGUAGCUGGUCUGAGAGGACGACCAGCCACACUGGAACUGAGACACGGUCCAGACUCCUACGGGAGGCAGCAGUGGGGAAUUUUGGACAAUGGGCGAAAGCCUGAUCCAGCCAUACCGCGUGAGUGAAGAAGGCCUUCGGGUUGUAAAGCUCUUUCAGCCGGAAAGAAAUCGCACUUUUUAAUACGGAGUGUGGAUGACGGUACCGGAAGAAGAAGCACCGGCUAACUACGUGCCAGCAGCCGCGGUAAUACGUAGGGUGCGAGCGUUAAUCGGAAUUACUGGGCGUAAAGCGUGCGCAGGCGGUUUGAUAAGCCAGAUGUGAAAUCCCCGGGCUUAACCUGGGAACUGCAUUUGGAACUGUCAGACUAGAGUGUAGCAGAGGGGGGUAGAAUUCCACGUGUAGCAGUGAAAUGCGUAGAUAUGUGGAGGAAUACCAAUGGCGAACGCAGCCCCCUGGGUUAACACUGACGCUCAUGCACGAAAGCGUGGGGAGCAAACAGGAUUAGAUACCCUGGUAGUCCACGCCCUAAACGAUGUCAACUAGUUGUUGGGGGGAGGAGACUUUCCUUAGUAACGCAGCUAA